RNAcentral lists this ribosomal RNA (233 nucleotides) under uncultured bacterium. Its description in RNAcentral is "partial 16S ribosomal RNA". It matches the Rfam family "Bacterial small subunit ribosomal RNA", at positions 102 to 334 of the family's 1533-position model. The record is from RNAcentral.
CGACGGGUGGAGUAAUACAUCGGAACGUGUCUUCUAGUGGGGGAUAACUGCCCGAAAGGGCAGCUAAUACCGCAUGAGACCUGAGGGUGAAAGCGGGGGGUCGGCAAGACCUCGCGCUGGAAGAGCGGCCGAUGUCCGAUUAGCUAGUUGGUGAGGUAAAGGCUCACCAAGGCGACGAUCGGUAGCUGGUCUGAGAGGACGACCAGCCACACUGGGACUGAGACACGGCCCAG